AAAUUGAAGAGUUUGAUCAUGGCUCAGAUUGAACGCUGGCGGCAGGCCUAACACAUGCAAGUCGAACGGUAACAGAAAGCAGCUUGCUGCUUUGCUGACGAGUGGCGGACGGGUGAGUAAUGUCUGGGAAACUGCCUGAUGGAGGGGGAUAACUACUGGAAACGGUAGCUAAUACCGCAUAACGUCGCAAGACCAAAGAGGGGGACCUUCGGGCCUCUUGCCAUCGGAUGUGCCCAGAUGGGAUUAGCU
This 249-nucleotide ribosomal RNA is filed under the name Escherichia coli. Its description in RNAcentral is "partial 16S ribosomal RNA". It matches the Rfam family "Bacterial small subunit ribosomal RNA", at positions 1 to 246 of the family's 1533-position model. Lineage: Bacteria; Pseudomonadati; Pseudomonadota; Gammaproteobacteria; Enterobacterales; Enterobacteriaceae. The record is from RNAcentral.